Molecule: ribosomal RNA, 253 nt
Filed under: uncultured bacterium
Lineage: Bacteria
Description: partial 16S ribosomal RNA
Rfam family: Bacterial small subunit ribosomal RNA
Source: RNAcentral
GACGUAGGGUCCGAGCGUUGUCCGGAAUUACUGGGCGUAAAGAGCUCGUAGGUGGUUUGUCGCGUUGUUCGUGAAAACUCACAGCUCAACUGUGGGCGUGCGGGCGAUACGGGCAGACUUGAGUACUGCAGGGGAGACUGGAAUUCCUGGUGUAGCGGUGGAAUGCGCAGAUAUCAGGAGGAACACCGGUGGCGAAGGCGGGUCUCUGGGCCGAUACUGACGCUGAGGAGCGAAAGCGUGGGGAGCGAACAGG